UAGGGAAUCUUCCACAAUGGACGCAAGUCUGAUGGAGCAACGCCGCGUGAGUGAAGAAGGUUUUCGGAUCGUAAAGCUCUGUUGUUGGUGAAGAAGGAUAGAGGCAGUAACUGGUCUUUAUUUGACGGUAAUCAACCAGAAAGUCACGGCUAACUACGUGCCAGCAGCCGCGGUAAUACGUAGGUGGCAAGCGUUGUCCGGAUUUAUUGGGCGUAAAGCGAGCGCAGGCGGAAUGAUAAGUCUGAUGUGAAAGCCCACGGCUCAACCGUGGAACUGCAUCGGAAACUGUCAUUCUUGAGUGCAGAAGAGGAGAGUGGAACUCCAUGUGUAGCGGUGGAAUGCGUAGAUAUAUGGAAGAACACCAGUGGCGAAGGCGGCUCUCUGGUCUGCAACUGACGCUGAGGCUCGAAAGCAUGGGUAGCGAACAGGAUUAGAUACCCUGGUAGUCCAUGCCGUAAACGAUGAGCGCUAGGUGUUGGGGACUUUCCGGUCCUCAGUGCCGCAGCAAACGCAUUAAGCGCUCCGCCUGGGGGAGUACGACCGCAAGGUUGAAAC
Molecule: ribosomal RNA, 555 nt
Filed under: uncultured bacterium
Lineage: Bacteria
Description: partial 16S ribosomal RNA
Rfam family: Bacterial small subunit ribosomal RNA
Source: RNAcentral